RNAcentral lists this non-coding RNA (46 nucleotides) under Schistosoma mattheei. The record is from RNAcentral. Lineage: Eukaryota; Metazoa; Platyhelminthes; Trematoda; Strigeidida; Schistosomatidae.
GCACUGCUGAGGAGUCCCGUAGUAGGACGAAACGGCCGUCCAGUAC